Molecule: transfer RNA, 94 nt
Filed under: Actinoplanes ianthinogenes
Lineage: Bacteria; Bacillati; Actinomycetota; Actinomycetes; Micromonosporales; Micromonosporaceae
Description: tRNA-Ser
Source: RNAcentral
CGCGUGCCUGCGCGACGUGGAGAUGGGCUUCCGGCUGCUGCCCGGGGACAACACCAACCGGUUCGUCUCGUCGUCCGAGGACGUCGGCGCGCGG